CAAUGAAGACUUGUGAGUGAUCCCGCUAGAUGUGUUUUUGUCUUUUUGACACAUUCCCCAUUUCCAUUUAAUUUCCUAUUUUUUAGAAACACGCCUGGUGUAUUUGCAAGAAGCAGGACCUGCUUACACUUCCGAAGCACUUGAGGUCGCCCCAGUUUUUGUGUCCGUUUUUCUCGUUUGUUUUGAAGAUACGAUGUUGAAUGACCUUGAAUGUGUGUUUAAUCUGUUCCCGUGUUUGCUUUUUGUCUAUCGAUACUCUGUAGUCCAGUUGUUUCUUUUACCUGCAUAAGAUUAUUUACGAUCUAAAAUGUUUGUACAGCUUUGCAAUAAUUUUGGUGUUUGUUUUUUCUUCUCUUUUGCACAUAGUACAGACA
This 374-nucleotide long non-coding RNA is filed under the name Mytilus galloprovincialis (Mediterranean mussel). The record is from RNAcentral. Lineage: Eukaryota; Metazoa; Mollusca; Bivalvia; Mytilida; Mytilidae.